AAAAAUUAUCCACGAGCGGAAGAGCCGCCCGAUAGAGUAGUCAAAUUAUCCGGCCGCAGAUAAAGUAUUUCGUUUUUAAAACGAACGUUUUUUUUUUUUUUUUUUUAUAAUUUGUGUAAAACAAUCGCGACUGUCGUGUUUAUUACUUAACGUUUUAGGGUGUUUGGGUUUUUAAAUCACGGAAUUCCCUGUGAAAACUUGACAUUUAAACGGGAAAACGGUUGGUUGAGGGGGGAUA
Molecule: non-coding RNA, 238 nt
Organism: Cinara cedri
Lineage: Eukaryota; Metazoa; Arthropoda; Insecta; Hemiptera; Aphididae
Source: the annotation of a GenBank genome assembly